AGCAGCAGUGAGCACCGUCCUCCAGCUAGACUCGAGGCGCCACUGGGCCACGUGGCACGCGUAAACGCGUUUUGGCUUUGCUUGCCUGGCCGAUUAGAAUUUAAUAAUAAAUAAUAACGGGCUCUCGGCUCUCCUCCCCCCCCCCACACCUGCCGCAGCCGCACACCACCCCACCGGUCGGUCAUCGGCCAUCGCCUUCGCGUUCGCUUUAUCGGCUCUGGCAUCUUCUCGCCCAGCUCUUCCGCCAGCUCCAUCGCAGUCCCCAUUACUGCACUGCGCUCUGUCGCCUCCUCUCUUCCCCACCUCGCUGCUCCGAUCCAGCAAGAGCUCCAUCCGCGCGCAGGUACUGGUCCGAUCCUUCCACUCUCUGCCCCUCUCGCCCGCCGAUUACUUUCCAGUCCGUUCGCGGGCUCUGCGGGGCCCCCUCAGCAGUCUCAGGGGCUCCGCGCUCGAUCCUGUAUGGAUCAGGUAUCAAGGUCGUCAUCGUUCAUGAUCUGGUGCGCCCCCACGCAUGGAAUCUGGGGUUUGUAGCCGCGGCUUCUCCCUCCGACAUGCAUGCUCUGCUCUUGUUGUCGCGACAAAUUCGAUCACCAUUCGAUCUUAUGGCGACUCUAGCUAGCUUAGUAGUCCGGCCUGCGACGCUGAAUCGCUGAUGCCUACGUAUGCCGUCCUCGCUAGAUCAACGCUGGUACGCGAUCUCAUGAACUUUACAUCGAUUUGAGUAGCUUUUUCAGCAGAAACCAAAGCAGUUGUUUUCAGCACAGCAGCAUAUUAUUUUUUUAUCGCCUUUAGGCUUUAGGUUAGGAAAAUGGAGUAGUUGAGGGAGCACGCCAACUGUGCCUCGCUGGUAUUCUGGACGAAGCUCCAGACGCAAGAGUCAUCUGUUGAUGUUGACUAAGGUGAGUGAUCUAGACGAGACUGACUUGGUGUCCAUGUUUGACUGCAUCCAACUACUCGCAAUCGCAGUAGUGAACCAGCACCACCUACAUACAGCCUCUCUUCUGGGAAAUCCAAAGGCAGGUUAUUAGUUUGACCCAAAGCGCCACACUGAUCAGGAAUCGAUUCGUAUAUAGUGGCCAGCGUGAUCAAGAACUAACACGGAUGCCGUUCUGAAUACAAUAGUACGUACAACCCAUUGUGCUACCGCUACCUGCAAAUUGUAUAGUCUGGCCAGUCUGCUGCACUACUGUAACAUGCUAAAACCACCAUAUAUGUGCAGAUAGAUAUGGCGGCGUUUUUACUAUUUUCCAUCUCUCGUUUUUUGCAGGGAGGUCGUCAGAUGGAGUUCGUGCUCAUCAUCUCGCUGCCGCUGCUCAUACUCAUCAUCAUCGUCGCCGUCGUCCUCUGCAUCAUCUGCCGCUAGGCUCGCUGAACGUCCACAGAGAAGAAGAAGAAGGUUCAGCCCCGUCCGUCUCUGCAGUCUGCACUCUGCUAGCUGUGAUCCUACCAUACCAUGUGUUAGUGCUGAUUUGACAUUGUACGUACAGCAUGACCUGAUAAACCCUCCUCUCUCUCUCUCUCUCUCUCUCUCUCUCUCUCUCUCUCUCUCUCUCUCUCUCUCUCUCUCUUGUCUGCAUUGCCGUACGUGAGAUUAAUCCGCUGUAGCUCUCUAUACGUUGUUUCUUUUCUUCAUCUCUCUUUUCCUAAAAGAAAAAAAAAAAGAAACGGCCGUUUGUGCAGAGCAACAAGCAAACACAAGGAGAAGCCGCUUUCCGCGUGUGAUCAACUGCUGAUGCUCCAGUCAUGCAACAACGCGUUGCCGACACUUUUGCAGUAGUGUACCGAGCUAUAGGCUGCCACAUGGCGUGAUACAGCCAGAGCCAGGCACAUACGGCACAUGGCUCUUGAUAUAUAUGACGGCUAUGGAUCUGGAACUGAAGAUUAAACGGGGGAACAUCCAUGUCAAGGCACUCGCCUUUCGGGGUCCAAUGUGCUAACAGCGAGCACCUAAACAUAUUAUAUAUAGAGAUCCAAAUAUGUCACCCGCUAAAAAGGCACUUUUUUAUGUGCUCCUUAUAUAUGACCUUAUAAAUAGAGCAUGUCUAGGUUUUGGGUGAGCAUUAUGGCUUCCUAACUUGAUAUACAACCUAGUAAACCCAAAAAUAUCUUUGGCUCACUUCUAAUGGUAGUGAUUCAUCCAUAAAGAGAUUGAAAGUGAUAUCUAGUGAUUCACAUUGAAUUGUUGCAUUUAGUAGUACUAGUGAUCAUAUUGAGUCGUGUGGUUCAUGUUACUCCUGGUGGUUGUUGCUACCUAAAUGGCUUCGAGGCACCAGAUGAUUGUUGAGUGGCUUUGGUGAUUAUUGAGAGCACCUAGAGGGAGGUGAAUAUGUGAUCCUGCAAAAUAGUCACUAAAAACACAAACUUGGUCUAGAAAUGAGAGUUCACACAAAGGAAUUUUGUUUCUUUGAGCUCCAUGACACCAGAGACCUCCCUAAAAAAUGACAUGUCCCCGAUAUGCUCUGCCUAUCUACCUUGCACCCGACAUAAUCGAAAUCCGAAUAUCCAGUUAGGUCCAAGGUAGACCCCUUAGGAUACCAUAGCUUGAAGUGAGGCGUAUGAACGAACUAGCUAGAUAGCUUAGAAUUCGCUUCACUGCCACAAUGUGACAUUCCUUGGGGUCGGAUUGACAUCUAGCACAUAAACAUAUGGAAAGCACAAUAUCCAGUCUACUUGCACAUAAAUAAAGAAACCUAUCAUAAACUGGUAUACCUUUUGAUCUACGGACUUACCUCCCGCGUUGAGAUCCAAGUGUCCAUUCAUUCCCAUCGGCGUCUUGAUGGGCUUUGCAUCCUUCAUCCCGAACUUCUUAAGGAUGCCUUAUGUAUACUUCGUUUGGGAGAUGAAGAUGCCUUAUUUAAGCUAUUUACUUGAAAGUCGAGGAAGUAGGUCAGCUCACCCAUCAUCGACAUCUCGAAUUUCUGCAUCAUCGCCUUGCUAAACUCCUCAUAAAACUUGAUUAGUAGAACCAAAUAGUAUAUCAUCGACAUAUAUUUAGCAUAUACACAAGUCACCAUUAUAAGUCUUAGUGAAAAGAGUUGGAUCAACUUUCUCGACUUUAAAAGCAUUUGAAAUGAGAAAAUAUCUAAGUCACCCAUACCAUGCUCACCGAUGGAGAACCGAUCUCUGCCCAAGGGAACGAGGGCCGACGGCGGACCCUGCCUCGACAUCGGCCGGGAAAGCAACAUGGUCAGGGUGGUGCCCACCCGACCAACUUUGUUUGAAGGCCCCAACACCGCAUCGGAGGCCCUCAGCGCCCUCAGCCUCACACCGCAUGAGCAACAUGGAGGUCCCAUGGUUGAAGUCGGAAAGGUCGCUUGACGCGAUGCUUCCGGCGAAGCAUGUAAAGCCAAGCACGAGGGAGGCUCAUUGUGGCCAAGGCAUGCUGCGUGCCCCACGAAUCCUAUCAUUGUCAGCGAACAAUAUUCAAACGAUCAACCGUGUUCUGGUUUCGAGAUCGUUUAAGGGAAAAGUCACUCUCAAGGCGCUGGUAGGCACAGGCGAGUGUGAGGAGUCUCAUAUGACACAAGGAGAGAAAGGCCCUCUUUCUUCUCCGGUAGUCAUCACGAAGGCGAGGGCCACCUUGGCUCCCCCAGGUAGAGCACUCUCGAGUAGGGCUGCACCAAGCUCACAAGCGGAAGGCUGUUGAGCCUUCACCGUGCCGGCAAAGUCUGAAUCGCUCCAAGCGUCGCAAUAGCCUUUGCUCAACUCCUUCAGCUUGAUCCCCCUUCAUAGUGAGACAUUACGACGGCGAAAGCCUGGCAGAUCCCAUGGCAGAAGGAUUCCUUCUCGAGCUCCUAGAACCAACCGACGAGGCCCUCAAGGUGGGAGACGACCGAUUUUGACUCAGGCGUGGGAAGCACCCUGAAGCGUCCCUGCAUCGCAUUCACCACCUCCGAUAAGAGAAGCUUCUCCCUCUCCGGUUCCUCCGAGCGGUGCUACAUCACGAGGAAGUCCCUUCGGUGGCGUCAGAUUUCCCUUGCAUGUCUGAAUGAACAAAAUAUAAGCCGUAAGAAGAAGGGAGUUGACGACGAAUGUCUCACCCCAGGAGAAAUCAUUACAAGAGGCUACCCUAUAGAGAGGUCAUGAGCUUCACCUCUUUCUUGGUUCGGCCAUUCAACUCUUCUUCCAGGGCCACGACCCCAGGCCUUGGCAACCGCUUUUCCUCACUCCAGGAUGCGAAGAUGAGAGUUCGCCUUUGCUCUUUCAAGGCAGGCGAGGGUCGCCGACUACAUGUCCCUACUCGUCGCACCGACCAGGUUUUCGUAAGCAUUCUAGAUCAACGUAGCCACGAGCGCGGGCUUCGGUGGCCUCGCUUCUCGCUACCAGAAUAUCGCUAGUGGAACGCUCCCUUGCCACAUUUUGGUCCAGUAGGAGGCGGAGCCUGUCUGCCAGCAUCCCCGCGAACGAUUGAAAACGUGAAAGUCGGAUGACAGGGGAUUAGCAGGAGGAACGUUUCCCGCACCCAGCUACCCACACACGGCUUACCACAAGUUUUCGGUACGUGGUUGAAAGUUGAUCGAGGUUGUCUCACAACGCCCUCUCACACGCAUCGCCCUCCUCACACAAAUCUCUGCACAGGGCUAGGGGGUCGUUGCCCUCAGUAGAGAGAUCUAGAGCAAGUCGGACGCAGCUCGAUCAUCAAGCCCCGACGACACAAUCUGAGGCUCCCCGCGAGUAAGGAGAGACAAUCUCCCCCUUCGGUCUCCAUCGUGCCGGCGAGGUCGGCUAAACAGAGGGAGAGAAAAUAGAAAGGUAAAGCUCGAUCGCCCUCGUGCUAAGCCCAAGUAGCUCGGGGGUGCCAAGCGAAACAAACCUAGGGUCUUGACCCUAGGGGCGCCUUGCGGAAACAUUGGUAGGGAAGAACUUGACGGCACCACCGCACUCCCUGACGGUGGGCACUAUCCUCCUCUUGGAAAUCACCUUUCGCACGCACGAUAGUAAGGCGAUAGGCUGGGGACUGUUAAAAAAGAGAAAAAUGAAGGAGACCAGGAGUUAUGACGACAUAAGAAAUCAAAUCGCUGGGACCGAUAAGUCCCCGCCCGACUGAUCACGCGCCCACGAACCUCUGCCCCACGGAAGGCACCGUGCCUCUGGGGCAUCUGGGCGGAGCGAUGGUCCCACUGCCUGCUUCAGAAGUAGGAGCAGACAUCUCCAGAGGUGCGCCAGCUAGAGUCGCCGACGGACCCGAGGCAGUCAAGCUCCCCGUGCAAGCAGCCCCGGAUGGACGGUCGACCAGAGGAUCGGCGGGUAAGGAAACGAGUGCCAUCGAAGCCAUCGACCCAAAGAAUAGGGCGGGGAGUUCCGGGAAGUCGUCUUCCUCCAUGAUUGGGAAGUCGCUUGUCGCCCCGCCUAAAAAGGCCGAGACGGAAUCCGGUGUCGAUGCAGCAAGGGACGUAUCCGGAAUGGCCCAGAAUUCGGAGCCUGCACUCGCGUCAUCAUCCUCGUCCUCGUCGGCCGAGUCAGUCUCGGCACCACGGUCCCUGUGCAUCUGAUGUGCGGUCCUCCUACGUUUCUUCUCCACCCUGUCUUUCUUGUCCUUCUGCUGCUGCUUCGCCCACGCGCGAGCUACCUCCUCCACCGUGCUCUUCGGCAGUGGAACGAGGUCAUAUCACAACACUAGAGAAGAGGGCUGGUGGAAGGGGGAAGGUGGGGUCGGAGGUUGCGAAACUAAAAAUGGAAGAGAGGGAGGGUGGAACCUGACAAACUGGCUACCUAAGCAUAUGAGGACUGGGGCCUUUAGUGCCCUAGGACCUCAAAGGUUGAAAUAUAAUGUCCCCAAAGCGCCUUGUUUCGUGGGGUACUAGCUAGAGAAUAAGUCCUCGAGGUACUACUUAACCUUUCAAACUAAGAUCUCCUUCUUGGGUACUACUUGACCCUCCAAAUCGGCGUCUCCUUUCUUAUACCUUUGUGUAGUAGCACUAAAAUCGCAUCUCAUGUAUUUAAUUUUAGUUCUGCUAAGCUUAAAACCUUUAAACUCUAAAGUCCCCUACAAGAACUCUAAUUUAUAGUUACUCAUAUUAGGUUUUCAUCAAGUACCACUUUAUCAUCCGAAAUUAUAUACCCCUUUGACCUCAUCUAUCACCAAGACAAAAAGAUAAGGGCUCAAAACUGAUCUUUGAUAUAGUCUUACUCUAAUACGAAAGUCAUCAGUGUCCCAUCACUUGUUGAAUAUUGGUCACAAUAUUAUUAAUGAGUUCAACAUACUUCAUUAAAACUUUAUGAUUAUCUAAAGCCCACUACAUAACAUUUUUUAGUAUUUUGUCAUAAGCUCUCUCUAAAUUGAUGAAAAUCAUACAUAUAGGUCCUUGUCCCUAUACCUCAUUGCUUAUCUUACUAAGGGCAUGUUUUUAUAAUUCCAAACAAACACCCCUAAGACUAUCUCCAGCAGCUUACCCAUCCUAAUACCUAUAUUUAAACUCAACUCUACGAAUAAUACAGUCUAUAAUACAAUACAUUGUUUUAGAUGAUCACAUAGGUGAACUAUUGGACACGGUCUAACUCUCCAUACACCUCCACCACUUAUCUUAUUAAGAAAAUGACUUCUAUGGUUUAUCUUUCAAGCAUAAAACCAAAUUAGUUUAUAUAGAUCCUUAUUAUUUCUCUUAGACGAUAUUCGAUAGCUCUCUCUCAUAACAUUAUAGUAUGCCUCGUUAACUUAAUUGCCCAGUAAUAAAAUGCUGCUCAUGAAUUACAAAAGCCCACCAGGCCACAACAUAUGAAACGGCACAUCUGUCUAGCUACUGUUCUUUACACGGAGAGGUCGAGAGAUGUCAAACCUAUCCAGCAACCGAAAACUAUUUAUGCUCAAAAGGGCCUCCUUCCACAUAUCAGCUAUUCAGCUAUCGUCACUUUUGACACCAACAUCUGAACAAACCAUUGGAUAAGAUCGGUUCCCUGUCCUAGUUCUUUCAGGAACUUUCCACGCCAUCAUCUGACGUUGGAAGGUUGGAGAUCAACAAGCCAAGGAUGCAGGACUGAAAUAACAAACUGGUUUCAAGCCUGUAAACAAAAUGGACGGAAUAGGUCAAUCCCAAAAGGUUACUGGAGAUGUUUGAGAGGCUGUCCGAUGUUGCAUUACUCAAGCACUAAGCAAAUUUGGAGCAAACUAAGACGCCGAUUUGCUGUUCUAUGGUAAAAUGGACUGCAAGCUUAAUAUAUAAAAAAAGAACGGACACAGUUUUCUCAGCCCCUCCUGUUGACCUCUUCUAAAGAAGACAAUGUAGAAGAACAGAACACAGUGACUUUAGCAUUAAGGUGAAAACAGGCAAUGCAACAUGCUCUCGGUUACUGCUCGACUGAUGUUAUACUCAUUCAAGUAACGGAAUAAUGUUGGGUACACCACGGAUUUGUGAUGUUUGAUUAUUUAAAUACCAACAUGACUCCAUCAUAGAAGUAAGCAUGAAAGUUAAAAUAUAUGUUAACAAUGGGUUCUGCCUGUUAUCCAACCUAAGAAUGCAACAGACCAAACAUCGAACUUUGCAAAGGAGUUUUUUUCUCCGAAUCAUCAAACAGAAUUUGAUUAGAAACAUAAAAAAAAAAUUGAGGAUAGAGAGGAAAAUCAACUUAUCUUACAACAGCAUAAUGCAUACCAAAUGCAAGAAUAACGACCGGGAGCAUAUGAAGCACUCAUAAGAUCAAACACUUCUCUUCAAAACAUGAAUAUAACAUAAACAUGUUUAUGCCUCCACAGUUUAGACAAACAAACCCCAUGUUUAGCAGGAUAACUUGAUAAAUAACUUAACAAAUCAGUUACCGAUAAAAAGAAGAUACAUAAAUGAGCAGGGUUCAAUAAUUGUUCUCCUAAAAAGGGUUCAAUAAUUGCAGUCUGAAGUUGAAACGAAGAAAGCAAUCCUAAUCCACCAACCGUACCAUCCCAAAAGUAUCACCAUCUGAUGUAUACACUGCAUCUAUAUCCAAAUCCGAGGGACCCCCAAAUAUAUAUCAGAUAUGUUCAGUCUUACCUUUUUUAUUCAACAAGUGCUCAACAAGCAAGGUACCAAACCUAAAAUGAAUUAUCCGUAAAGAAGAAAGUUAAAUUGGACUAAAGCACCAAACCAAUCGCCACCAAAAGAAUCUGGAAAAAAGUAGCACACCCUCCGUUCCAAAUUAUAGUUAUAAAUUUAUAGGUCGUUUUAGCUUACAUUGAUUUGGCUAUGCAUCUAGAUAUAUGAUAGGUAUAAAUAUAUAAUAAAAGUUAUGCAUCUAGAAAAGCUCAAACGACCUAUAAACAAAAGAACAGACGGAGUAAAAAAUCGCUUUUGAGAUGAACGAACUAGUGCUGAUGUGAUACAUGAGUAAAAGAUCAAAAAAUGUGCGGAUCGGAGUUAGCACCCAACAUGCUAAUUGUCAAGGAUAACUAAAUUCCCUAUUCUCAACGUAGCAUUUCGGCAAUCAGCAUCUCGAGCACCUGCCGGAGCCUAGCGGGCACCAGGCAGCAAGCAAUAGCGUAAUCAGGAAUUCCUCGCUCUCCGAUAAUUAACAUUCACUGAAAGCACCAGAGCUCAUGAGAGACAAGAUGUGAAUUGCCUUACAUCCGGCCGCGGGCGCCGUCCCCUUAGUGCUUCUUGCUCCGCGCGGGCUGCCUGGACCCGUCCGUGGCGAGCCUGUAGAUCCAGUAACCCUGCAACGGGAAGCUAAAUUCAUAACCCCAAUCUUAUCCGGCAGGUGGCAAUAACAGGAGAGCUAGGGGAGGAGGACGCACGAGGGCGAGGACGUGGGCGGCGAUGAGGAGGACGACGAGGAGCGGGAGGAGGUCAACGAUCCAGGGGCGGAGCGCUGGCACGGAUGUGGCGGUGGCGUCGCGCGCCAUGGCGACGCGACGGGAGAAGGAGAACGCGCCGGGGUGGCGGAGGAAGGAAGAAAGGGGGUCGGCCGCCGGGUCGCCCGAGCCCAUCCGCGUGGUGGUCCGGAACACCAGUUUCUCGCGGGACGCUUGCUCAGUCCUCUCUCGGCCUCAGGCUUCCUCGCGGCGUGGGCUGGGCUGCCUGCGUUUCUGAGCCGAUUACUCUGCGCGUGCACGAGGGUCGGGGGGCAAUGGGGAGUGGAUCACGGCACGGACGCGGUAGUUGCGCCCGGUGCGGUGCCGCUGUCUUCUGGUGCACCUAAACCGGGCCGCACGGCACUGGGCCCAGACCGCGCGGAUUUGUAGUCCCGCGUCACGUCCCGUCCGCCGCCGCUCGCCUCAACCAGAAAGUGUGUCGUGCAAAAAAAAUUUAAAAAAAACCCCGAGAAUCCGAGAUGUCUGAUUAUCCCAAACUUGUGAUCUAAAUAAUCCCGAGAAGUCUAAUUAUCCUAAACUUUUGACCCAAUUUUUGAUGUCAAUUCAGGGACGGACUGAAAAAGCAAUAAGAAAAAAAUGACUUUCAUAUGUGUAUGAGGUGGUGGACUUCGAAAUCUAUGAGCGGGUUGCUUAGGUUGUCUCCAACGACGUUCUCUAAAUUUUAUCCCCUAAAAAAAUAUUCUCUGUACUUUACAGCACCCUCUAAAAGAUUCUGUCUUCUAUAUCUUCCUCAUCUCCAACAAUAUCCUCUAAAUUUGAUCCUCUAUAUCAACAGUGAUAACUAAAUUCCUAAUUCAAUUUAGUUUGUAUCAACAUUGCAUUGUCUGUCAACUGUAAAAUAUUAUGUAUGUAUCCAGAUUAAAUUUAAAUUAAGUAUUUAAAAUUCGAAAUUAGUGGUCUGGUAAAUUAAUUAAGAUAACACAAUAUAGGAAAUUGCAUUGUCUAGCUAAACUUUGUAUUAUUUUUUUUCUAUCGGAUGUAUAGGAAAACAAAAUAGGAAAGUUUUCUAAAUAAACUUUGUAUUGCACAUAUUUUUUAUAUCAAACUAUCGAACGUACACGAAAACCAAACAGGCAACACUUCUUGACCAGUGCGCGCGACCGUACGUAAGCAACAGUGUAUAGCGGAUUAGCGGGUGGCCGUGGAACUCUACAUUUAGUGUCUGUGGAAGCGUGUGCUAAAUUUACAGGAGUCUAUAGCAGUCCUUGCUGGAGACGUACCGGACGAAAAUAUCCGCUAUAUGUAGCGAACAGGCCGCUUUAGCGGAUCUGCUGGAGCCAGCCUUAUAAUUUAUCUGACUUAUCUGGUACUCGGAUACGAUCCUGCAAAAAAGAGUAGAGGGGUCGAGGUGACCGAAUUUUUUGUAUUUUGGCCAUUUUUUGGAAAAAAAACACAUUUAGACCCUAGAAAAUUUUAAUUACAUUUUUGGACCCUUUCCUCGGCGCCAUAGCCUAUGCGCGCCGAGGUAACACAGCUCGGCGCCAUAGGUUAUGGCGCCGAGGUACGUGCUGCGUUGGCACAAACUGGACGCCGUGGCGUUGACGUGGCACUGAGCUCGGCGCCACAGAUCUUGGCGCCGAGCUCGGUUGUGUUAUCAACAGUUUUGUUGCAAAGAAAUGGCACCAAGCCAUCUAGCUCAGUUGGUGGAGCACAAGGUUUUAAACCAUGAAGUUGGGGGUUCGAGCCCUAUAACUUGCCUAGAUUUUUUUUUAUCUUUUAAAUAACUCGCCCAGAUUUUUUUAAACCAGUCUCCUCAAAUAAUGUAAAGUUGGGGUUCGAAUUGGGGAAAAAAAUAACACCCAACGGCUGUUAAUAUUGUAAAUGGAUCGGAGACGAAGGUGCCAAAGGUGUGUGUAUCAUCUGGAUCGACAGACGACGACGACCACUGGUCUGAUUGUUUCAGCACUUUAAUCAUGUCCAAAUGUUAUAUAUGCCUUGCAUUAUUGCAUCCAACCUUUUGCGUCAUAUGCCACGCUGGAAAAGCAUCUUGGGGAUAUUAUUUUUUAAAGAAAAAUUAGGACUAGCUAGCAGCUAGCGUCGUGUAUUGGCUGGACAUGUUUGAAUCCUUUUGGAGUUCCUUAAUUAGGUUAUCCUGCGCCUGUAGCUAGCAAAUAAUACUCACGCCUGAUCGACAAUAUUCCUUGCUAUACACUCACACACAUGUGCUAUACGUAAUUAUGUAGCAAAAAACCCGGGUAACGAGAUCAUCAACAGGCUGAAUAAAACCCGGGUAGAACGCCGGGCGCCAGACUUGAAAGGUGCUUAAUUACUAACACACAGAUACGCUGAUCUGCCCAUGCACGUACGCCGUGCAUAUCAUGCUUAAUUAUUAUCAGUUGAUUAAUAAUCUUUCUCCCCUCGCGCUCGUGUGCAGCCGAGAAAGAGGCAUCAAAUGCAGCAGAAAAGGCCGAGAGGAAGAUGCAGCUGAAAGAGAAGAUAUACUCAGUUAACAUUGCUGACAGCGCGGCCAUGCAUCUAACGACGGUCAUCACUGAUUGGAUUGGCAGAAACGGAAGGAGGAGAUGGAAAGGCUGGAGAAGGAGAAAUGGGCGGAGAUACGGAGCUACAAGGGCCUCAUGGUGGCCGAGAAGAUGACGUCCAACAGCCAGAUUUUAAAAAAAUGAGUUAUUUAAAAGAUAAAAAAAUCUAGAUGAGUGUAGGGCUCGAACCCCCAAACCUCGUGGUUUAAAACCUUG
This 11475-nucleotide long non-coding RNA is filed under the name Zea mays. RNAcentral's name for it is "long non-coding RNA (ZMAY_LNC002966)". The record is from RNAcentral. Lineage: Eukaryota; Viridiplantae; Streptophyta; Magnoliopsida; Poales; Poaceae.